Molecule: ribosomal RNA, 468 nt
Filed under: uncultured bacterium
Lineage: Bacteria
Description: partial 16S ribosomal RNA
Rfam family: Bacterial small subunit ribosomal RNA
Source: RNAcentral
GACGAACGCUGGCGGCGUGCUUAACACAUGCAAGUCGAACGGAAAGGCCCUGCUUUUGUGGGGUGCUCGAGUGGCGAACGGGUGAGUAACACGUGAGUAACCUGCCCUUGGCUUUGGGAUAACUUCAGGAAACUGGGGCUAAUACCGGAUAGGAGCUCCUGCUGCAUGGUGGGGGUUGGAAAGUUUCGGCGGUUGGGGAUGGACUCGCGGCUUAUCAGCUUGUUGGUGGGGUAGUGGCUUACCAAGGCUUUGACGGGUAGCCGGCCUGAGAGGGUGACCGGCCACAUUGGGACUGAGAUACGGACCAGACUCCUACGGGAGGCAGCAGUGGGGAAUAUUGCACAAUGGGCGGAAGCCUGAUGCAGCAACGCCGGGUGCGGGAUGACGGCCUUCGGGUUGUAAACCGCUUUCGCCUGUGACGAAGCGUGAGUGACGGUAAUGGGUAAAGAAGCACCGGCUAACUACGUG